This 253-nucleotide ribosomal RNA is filed under the name uncultured bacterium. RNAcentral's name for it is "partial 16S ribosomal RNA". It matches the Rfam family "Bacterial small subunit ribosomal RNA", at positions 524 to 776 of the family's 1533-position model. The record is from RNAcentral.
UACGGAGGAUGCAAGCGUUAUCCGGAAUGAUUGGGCGUAAAGCGUCCGCAGGUGGCUAUGUAAGUCUGCUGUUAAAGAGUGAGGCUCAACCUCAUAAGAGCAGUGGAAACUACAUAGCUAGAGUGCGUUCGGGGCAGAGGGAAUUCCUGGUGUAGCGGUGAAAUGCGUAGAGAUCAGGAAGAACACCGGUGGCGAAAGCGCUCUGCUAGGCCGCAACUGACACUGAGGGACGAAAGCUAGGGGAGCGAAUGGG